ACUUAUUCUCAGGGCGGGGUGAGAUUCCCCACCGGCGGUAUCCUAGUUGUUUCUAGGGAGCCCGCGAGCGCUCUUCUUGCCGAAGAGGUCAGCAGAACUGGUGAAAGGCCAGUGCCGACGGUAUAGUCCGGAUGAAAGAGGAUAAGG
Desulfosporosinus youngiae DSM 17734 is the source of this 147-nucleotide regulatory RNA element. It matches the Rfam family "FMN riboswitch aptamer (RFN element)". From Rfam's summary of the family: The RFN element is a highly conserved domain that is found frequently in the 5'-untranslated regions of prokaryotic mRNAs that encode for flavin mononucleotide (FMN) biosynthesis and transport proteins. This element is a metabolite-dependent riboswitch that directly binds FMN in the absence of proteins. The record is from Rfam. NCBI's taxonomy places the organism in Bacteria, Bacillati, Bacillota, Clostridia, Eubacteriales, Desulfitobacteriaceae.